UACAGGGGGGCAAGCGUUGUUCGGAAUUAUUGGGCGUAAAGGGUGCGUAGGCGGUUUGGUAAGUCUUAUGUGAAAUCUACAGGCUCAACUUGUAGUCUGCAUGAGAAACUGCCGGGCUUGAGUAUGGGAGAGGUGAGUGGAAUUCCUGGUGUAGCGGUGAAAUGCGUAGAUAUCAGGAGGAACACCUGUGGCGAAAGCGGCUCACUGGACCAUAACUGACGCUGAUGCACGAAAGCUAGGGGAGCAAACAGG
Molecule: ribosomal RNA, 252 nt
Filed under: uncultured bacterium
Lineage: Bacteria
Description: partial 16S ribosomal RNA
Rfam family: Bacterial small subunit ribosomal RNA
Source: RNAcentral